AUUGAACGCUGGCGGCAUGCCUUACACAUGCAAGUCGAACGGUAACGCGGGGCAACCUGGCGACGAGUGGCGAACGGGUGAGUAAUGCAUCGGAACGUGCCCAGUAGUGGGGGAUAGCCCGGCGAAAGCCGGAUUAAUACCGCAUACGACAUAAGGGUGACAGGGGGGGAUCGCAAGACCUCUCGGUAUUGGCGCGGCAGAUGUCAGAUUAGGUAGUUGGUGGGGUAAAGGCCUACCAAGCCGACGAUCUGUAGCUGGUCUGAGAGGACGACCAGCCACACUGGGACUGAGACACGGCCCAGACUCCUACGGGAGGCAGCAGUGGGGAAUUUUGGACAAUGGACGCAAGUCUGAUCCAGCCAUGCCGCGUGCGGGAAGAAGGCCUUCGGGUUGUAAACCGCUUUUGUCAGGGAAGAAAUCUUCUGGGCUAAUACCUCGGGAGGAUGACGGUACCUGAAGAAUAAGCACCGGCUAACUACGUGCCAGCAGCCGCUGUAA
This 498-nucleotide ribosomal RNA is filed under the name uncultured bacterium. Its description in RNAcentral is "partial 16S ribosomal RNA". It matches the Rfam family "Bacterial small subunit ribosomal RNA", at positions 29 to 523 of the family's 1533-position model. The record is from RNAcentral.